This 218-nucleotide ribosomal RNA is filed under the name uncultured bacterium. RNAcentral describes it as "partial 16S ribosomal RNA". It matches the Rfam family "Bacterial small subunit ribosomal RNA", at positions 114 to 334 of the family's 1533-position model. The record is from RNAcentral.
UGCUUCGGAAUCUGCCCUUCAGUGGGGAAUAACCAGUCGAAAGAUUGGCUAAUACCGCAUACGAACUACGGUUGAAAGCAGGGGAUCGCAAGACCUUGCGCUGAUGGAUGAGCCGAAGUCGGAUUAGCUUGUUGGUGGGGUAACGGCCUACCAAGGCGGACGAUCCGUAGCUGGUCUGAGAGGACGACCAGCCACACUGGGACUGAGACACGGCCCAG